Long non-coding RNA from Myotis brandtii (Brandt's bat), 171 nucleotides. RefSeq lists it as uncharacterized. The transcript has 3 exons. The record is from RefSeq and is a predicted model, not a curated record. NCBI's taxonomy places the organism in Eukaryota, Metazoa, Chordata, Mammalia, Chiroptera, Vespertilionidae.
GUUUCUUCAAUAAAAGGUAUUGGGGAAACUGGACAGUCACAUGCAAAGCAAUAAAACUGGACCUCAAUCACACACCAUACACAAAAAUCAACUCAAAAUUGAUUAAGGGCUUAAAUGUAAGAUCUGAAAGCAUAGAACUCCUAGAAGAAAACAUAGGGAACAAAAUAUCAG